This 1250-nucleotide ribosomal RNA is filed under the name uncultured Massilia sp. RNAcentral's name for it is "bacterial SSU rRNA". It matches the Rfam family "Bacterial small subunit ribosomal RNA", at positions 88 to 1351 of the family's 1533-position model. Lineage: Bacteria; Pseudomonadati; Pseudomonadota; Betaproteobacteria; Burkholderiales; Oxalobacteraceae. The record is from RNAcentral.
GCGGCGAGUGGCGAACGGGUGAGUAAUAUAUCGGAACGUACCCAGAAGUGGGGGAUAACGUAGCGAAAGUUACGCUAAUACCGCAUACGAUCUACGGAUGAAAGUGGGGGACCUUCGGGCCUCAUGCUUGUGGAGCGGCCGAUAUCUGAUUAGCUAGUUGGUAGGGUAAAGGCCUACCAAGGCGACGAUCAGUAGCUGGUCUGAGAGGACGACCAGCCACACUGGGACUGAGACACGGCCCAGACUCCUACGGGAGGCAGCAGUGGGGAAUUUUGGACAAUGGGCGCAAGCCUGAUCCAGCAAUGCCGCGUGAGUGAAGAAGGCCUUCGGGUUGUAAAGCUCUUUUGUCAGGGAAGAAACGGGAGUGGCUAAUAUCCGAUCCUAAUGACGGUACCUGAAGAAUAAGCACCGGCUAACUACGUGCCAGCAGCCGCGGUAAUACGUAGGGUGCAAGCGUUAAUCGGAAUUACUGGGCGUAAAGCGUGCGCAGGCGGUUUUGUAAGUCUGACGUGAAAUCCCCGGGCUCAACCUGGGAAUUGCGUUGGAGACUGCAAGGCUGGAGUCUGGCAGAGGGGGGUAGAAUUCCACGUGUAGCAGUGAAAUGCGUAGAGAUGUGGAGGAACACCGAUGGCGAAGGCAGCCCCCUGGGUCAAGACUGACGCUCAUGCACGAAAGCGUGGGGAGCAAACAGGAUUAGAUACCCUGGUAGUCCACGCCCUAAACGAUGUCUACUAGUUGUCGGGUUUUAAUUAACUUGGUAACGCAGCUAACGCGUGAAGUAGACCGCCUGGGGAGUACGGUCGCAAGAUUAAAACUCAGAGGAAUUGACGGGGACCCGCACAAGCGGUGGAUGAUGUGGAUUAAUUCGAUGCAACGCGAAAAACCUUACCUACCCUUGACAUGGAAGGAAUCCUGAAAAGAUUUGGGAGUGCCCGAAAGGGAACCUUCACACAGGUGCUGCAUGGCUGUCGUCAGCUCGUGUCCUGAGAUGUUGAGUUAAGUCCCGCAACGAGCGCAACCCUUGUCAUUAUUUGCUACGCAAGAACACUCUAAUGGAACUGCCGGUGACAAACCGAAGAAGGUGGGGAUGACGUCAGUCCUCAGGCCCUUAUGGUAGGGCUUCCACGUCCAACAAUGGUACAUCAAAAGGGCCGCCACCCGCGGGGGGACUUAUCCCAAAAAGGUAUCUUAUUCCGGAUUGGUUCCGCCAUCCCAAAAUGGAAAUUGAAACCCCUUAAAUCCGGAAAACA